GAGAGUUCUCUGUUUUUCUUUCCUUCUCUGUUAUGCAAGCUUCGUUCUUAUCGGCAGUGGACUUGCCUCCUCACCGCCAGCUGUACAUCUCUUCUGUUACUUCAUGUGGGUGUUCGUUUCUGUCAGGAUGGAGUAGCUGAAUCCCUCUCUCGUUUUUGCUCUAUUUCAUGGCUGUUAGAGAAAGAAACACGCUGAACCAGAGAAGAAAGCUUUCGAACUUCCACCGUUUCCUCCGUCUCUUCCCUCUCUUCCUCCGCCAUUUUCGAACAUUGCUGGCAUGCGUGAGCAUGAAAGUUGUAGCUGUUGAUGCACAAAACGUAGAGUAUGAUUUUUUUCCUCUCUUCCUUGCUUUGAGUUGCUGUUAAUCGCUGCUUGGGGGUGUUUUGUCACACCUAAAAUCUUGCUGCUAUCAGAGGAGAGAUGAACAGGUCAUGGGUGGUCUGAACAUCCUUGUUCUUUCUCUCUUUGUGCAUCACCGUAGGUAUUACUAUGCUCCUUUUGCUUCUGAUCCUAAAGAUUAGCUAAUAUGGAAAUAACCUCUUUUUUGGAGAAAUUUAAGCCAUUUGAUCUACUUAUGGGGACCUUGCUUCAAGAAUCUAUUGUCUGUAGAUUUUUGAAAACCGUUGAUAUCGAAGUCCCUGAUCUACGUACAGCAUGAAGACAAUAUAGGUCCGAGAUAUGGAAUGGAUAGCAGUGUGAUGAAGGAGGAAGAAACCGAUACACCCACAGCUACUCACGAGCAAACGGCUUCACUGAACUAGGAAGAAGAGGCCGUCACACGAAUAGAAGAAGGAGAGGAACCAGUAGUUAAACGGUGACUAGCCACGGUGGAGGAACGAUGAUGCGAAGGAAGAAGAAAGUUCCCACGCACCCACAACAACUUCUCGGACAGAGAACAAGAGGACGAUGGCGAAAUAGGGACGAGGAAGAACAUCGCGAUUUGGAUCUGUAACAGCGGCAAACGGAGCUCUUGCACACAGCCAUGCCGGUGACAGGUUAAAGACAGUGGAGGAAGGAGGAAGAAGAUGAAGGGAGAGGGAGAAGGGAAGGUGCACGCCAGAUCAGGUUUGACUGAACGCCGACUCAUGUAUUGACUACGUUCUAGUUCAGAGAUGGAGGCCAAACUUUGACCCAUGGAAUGCUAAUAAACACCAGAAAAUAGCUACAUGGGUUCGCAUACGUAACGUGUCGGUGGAAUUCUACAAUCAUGAAUCAAUGUGGUGUCUUGGCUCUAUGAUAGGGCGAACGCUUAAGGUGGAUCUGGUAACGUUAAUGAGAUCCAGGGGUCGUUUCGCGAGGGAAAUCAUCAGGAUGCAACAGAUAAUGCUUAUAAUCUAAGGAAAUAUUUGCAUAGGUCAUAUACUCAUGUAUUGGAUAUUUUCAUUUUACUUUUUUUCUUAUAUCCACCUUAUUUGCAUGACAUGUGUAAUCAU
Prosopis cineraria is the source of this 1433-nucleotide long non-coding RNA. RefSeq lists it as uncharacterized. NCBI's taxonomy places the organism in Eukaryota, Viridiplantae, Streptophyta, Magnoliopsida, Fabales, Fabaceae. The transcript has 4 exons. The record is from RefSeq and is a predicted model, not a curated record.